AUGAAAAUAACUAGCUGGAACUGCCGAGGUCUGGGACAACCUCGGACAGUCCAAGAGUUGGUGUGCCUCUCAAAGACACACCGACCCAACAUUAUCUUUCUUUCUGAAACAAGGAAAAAUAAAGAGUAUGUUGAGAGUUUGCGCUACCGCUUGGGUAUGAAAAAUGUGUUUGUUGUUUCUUUGCCAGGAAAAGGUUGA
RNAcentral lists this ribosomal RNA (198 nucleotides) under Triticum aestivum (bread wheat). Its description in RNAcentral is "partial small subunit ribosomal RNA". The record is from RNAcentral. Lineage: Eukaryota; Viridiplantae; Streptophyta; Magnoliopsida; Poales; Poaceae.